AGCGAACGCUGGCGGCAGGCCUAACACAUGCAAGUCGAACGAACCUUUCGGGGUUAGUGGCGGACGGGUGAGUAACACGUGGGAACGUGCCUUUAGGUUCGGAAUAACUCAGGGAAACUUGUGCUAAUACCGAAUGUGCCCUUCGGGGGAAAGAUUAAUCGCCUUUAGAGCGGCCCGCGUCUGAUUAGCUAGUUGGUUGAGGUAAUGGCUCACCAAGGCGACGAUCAGUAGCUGGUCUGAGAGGAUGAUCAGCCACAUUGGGCUGAGACACGGCCCAAACUCCUACGGGAGGCAGCAGUGGGGAAUCUUGCGCAAUGGGCGAAAGCCUGACGCAGCCAUGCCGCGUGAAUGAUGAAGGUCUUAGGAUUGUAAAAUUCUUUCACCGGGGACGAUAAUGACGGUACCCGGAGAAGAAGCCCCGGCUAACUUCGUG
This 433-nucleotide ribosomal RNA is filed under the name uncultured bacterium. Its description in RNAcentral is "partial 16S ribosomal RNA". It matches the Rfam family "Bacterial small subunit ribosomal RNA", at positions 29 to 507 of the family's 1533-position model. The record is from RNAcentral.